UUGGUCAUUGACAAUAUAAGAUUUGGAAACAGAAUCUUAAUGGGGACAUCAUAUAUGCUAUGUCAACCUUAGCCAUGAAAUUCUAUGUGAUAUUCUCGAAAUCGAAUUUUAUAUGAGUUAGAUGCUUAAACUUGAAAUCCCGUCAAAAGUCUAAGAUCAUCGUGGUUCCACUACUUCGUUGCAUUAGUCAGGCAUUGUUAAUCAAAGAGGUUUUGGCAAGCAGGUGGUGUUCCGGUUUGUUACUGAUUUUACCAUUCUCUGGACUUCCUGGUAUCAUUUCAUCGUACGUAACUUGCCCUGAUCUAGUGUUGUCCUCGCUUCCCUUUUCUGCAGCUUUCGGUUUAGGUGCCAUUUUUGGUUUCGGCUGUCUCAAUUCUUCAAUGGUAUUAUCACGCUUUAUUCUUGAUAUUCCGCAUGAAAGCUUCUCAGUGAAGUAAGCUUGGUCUUUCUUCAUUUGCCUGCGCCAAUUUUGUAUUAUGGUUAAAAAUGAAGAGUGGUUUUGUUGCAGGUCAUGUAGGUUCAUUCUCACCUGUCAAGAAUGAGCCAUGUCGGCUUUAAAGUUUUUGCAGCCUUCAUAGCAAUCACCUUGGGAGUUGGUCCGGCAUGCACCUCCACACGGAACUCAAUCUGAUGGAUGCCAAAUCAAAGCAAAUAAGUCUUGAACAUCAGGAAUUAAAGAUAGAAUCAUAAAAGGAAGGAAGUUGACCUGUUCCAGCUGACAAAGCUUGGAAAUUGUGAUGAUUUCCUCAUUGUUAGA
Molecule: long non-coding RNA, 757 nt
Filed under: Linum usitatissimum (flax)
Lineage: Eukaryota; Viridiplantae; Streptophyta; Magnoliopsida; Malpighiales; Linaceae
Description: long non-coding RNA (LUSI_LNC004567)
Source: RNAcentral